Molecule: long non-coding RNA, 505 nt
Filed under: Homo sapiens (human)
Lineage: Eukaryota; Metazoa; Chordata; Mammalia; Primates; Hominidae
Description: HSALNT0336598
Source: RNAcentral
ACACAUCUGGUCCAACACUACUUUGGGAUAUGUUUUGCUAAGGUUGCUGUUCUGCCUGGAAGGCCCUCAUUCCUCAGCUGCAUGACCCGAGGUUUCCUUCCUCUAAGACCUUGCUAGCGGCUCCUAGAUGCCUUCCAAACCAAAUUCUCUUCUAUGAGAUCAGCUCUUAGCUUUGUAUUCCCUGGCACUUAUGGAGUAUGUUAUGGAGUCUCCUGCCAGUGCUUCCAAUCGCUGAACUGAACUGGGAACAAAUCAACAAGGGAAACCAAGAGAUGCAUUCCUUGAAGUUCAGCCUCCAGGCCUCAAGUAAGGCAGAGGAAGAGAAUACAUAGAUCUGUGGAGAAGAGUGGUGAUGGUGGGAGCUGCCAAUAAAGAACUAUCAAAAAAGACGAAGUCUUUGUCGUCCAGGCUAGAGUGCAGCUGUGUGAUCUCAGCUCAUUGUAACCUCCACCUCCUGAUACAAGCAAUUCUUCUGCCUCAGCCUCCUGAGUAGGUGGGACUACAG